RNAcentral lists this ribosomal RNA (1435 nucleotides) under uncultured organism. RNAcentral describes it as "16S ribosomal RNA". It matches the Rfam family "Bacterial small subunit ribosomal RNA". The record is from RNAcentral.
CUUAACUCAUGCAAGUCGAGGGGCAGCAUGGUCUUAGCUUGCUAAGGCCGAUGGCGACCGGCGCACGGGUGAGUAACACGUAUCCAACCUGCCGUCUACUCUUGGACAGCCUUCUGAAAGGAAGAUUAAUACAAGAUGGCAUCAUGAGUCCGCAUGUUCACAUGAUUAAAGGUAUUCCGGUAGACGAUGGGGAUGCGUUCCAUUAGAUAGUAGGCGGGGUAACGGCCCACCUAGUCUUCGAUGGAUAGGGGUUCUGAGAGGAAGGUCCCCCACAUUGGAACUGAGACACGGUCCAAACUCCUACGGGAGGCAGCAGUGAGGAAUAUUGGUCAAUGGGCGAGAGCCUGAACCAGCCAAGUAGCGUGAAGGAUGACUGCCCUAUGGGUUGUAAACUUCUUUUAUAAAGGAAUAAAGUCGGGUAUGGAUACCCGUUUGCAUGUACUUUAUGAAUAAGGAUCGGCUAACUCCGUGCCAGCAGCCGCGGUAAUACGGAGGAUCCGAGCGUUAUCCGGAUUUAUUGGGUUUAAAGGGAGCGUAGAUGGAUGUUUAAGUCAGUUGUGAAAGUUUGCGGCUCAACCGUAAAAUUGCAGUUGAUACUGGAUAUCUUGAGUGCAGUUGAGGCAGGCGGAAUUCGUGGUGUAGCGGUGAAAUGCUUAGAUAUCACGAAGAACUCCGAUUGCGAAGGCAGCCUGCUAAGCUGCAACUGACAUUGAGGCUCGAAAGUGUGGGUAUCAAACAGGAUUAGAUACCCUGGUAGUCCACACGGUAAACGAUGAAUACUCGCUGUUUGCGAUAUACGGCAAGCGGCCAAGCGAAAGCGUUAAGUAUUCCACCUGGGGAGUACGCCGGCAACGGUGAAACUCAAAGGAAUUGACGGGGGCCCGCACAAGCGGAGGAACAUGUGGUUUAAUUCGAUGAUACGCGAGGAACCUUACCCGGGCUUAAAUUGCAGAUGAAUUACGGUGAAAGCCGUAAGCCGCAAGGCAUCUGUGAAGGUGCUGCAUGGUUGUCGUCAGCUCGUGCCGUGAGGUGUCGGCUUAAGUGCCAUAACGAGCGCAACCCUUGUUGUCAGUUACUAACAGGUUCCGCUGAGGACUCUGACAAGACUGCCAUCGUAAGAUGUGAGGAAGGUGGGGAUGACGUCAAAUCAGCACGGCCCUUACGUCCGGGGCUACACACGUGUUACAAUGGGGGGUACAGAGGGCCGCUACCACGCGAGUGGAUGCCAAUCCCCAAAACCUCUCUCAGUUCGGACUGGAGUCUGCAACCCGACUCCACGAAGCUGGAUUCGCUAGUAAUCGCGCAUCAGCCACGGCGCGGUGAAUACGUUCCCGGGCCUUGUACACACCGCCCGUCAAGCCAUGGGAGCCGGGGGUACCUGAAGUGCGUAACCGCGAGGAGCGCCCUAGGGUAAAACUGGUGACUGGGGCUAAGU